Molecule: long non-coding RNA, 1440 nt
Organism: Psammomys obesus (fat sand rat)
Lineage: Eukaryota; Metazoa; Chordata; Mammalia; Rodentia; Muridae
Exons: 6
Source: RefSeq, a predicted model, not a curated record
GACGGCCGCUGGCGCCGGCGGGAGGGCUGCAGAGGGUCCGGACUUCGACUUCGGUGGGUGGAUCGCGUGCUGGGGGUGAGGAAGGGAGACCUGAUGAGGCUCCCUGCUGGGUGACGCUUAGAGGCAGGUGUGAAGGUGUUCUGAUCAUGAAGGUCUGGGUACAAGGUAUUUACCAACCAAACAGGUGCCUAGCAGCGAGCCGGGAACUGGCUUUGAUGAGUUCUCAUUUCUCCCAGCGCAGGUUAGGAGGCCGUGUGUUUCAUUUGCCCGUGACUGUUGGGAGUAAAGGCGGUGCUCUUCAGGUUCCCCAGUGAACCUGUUAACUCAACUUCAAGUAUUUGGGCCAUGUGUGUAUUAAUGAAAUGAUUGCAUCCGAUUACGUCUUUUAUUCAGAGCACAAGAACAGUCCAUGAAUUCUGUCCUCCAGCAGUACUGUUUUUGUCAUGAAGUCACUAAUUAAGUUACUCCAUUUCAUGCAGAGGUGAGACUGCUGCUCAUUAAGGUAUCAGCUUCCAUCAGUCGAGUGGAAAUAAUACUGGACCCUGCUUCAUUGUAUGACUCAGUCCCCAAGCCUUGCCAGACUCGGAGACCUCCCUGGAACUUUUGCUGCUAUUGCCUUCAAGAGGAAUUUUUACUUUGUUAUCCCCAUGUCUGUAUCAACUAUGAAGACAUCUAAAUCUCAGUAGCCAGUUACAAACAAAGAUCUUCAGGGAUCACUGAAACUUCAAGACAUUGGUUGACCUGCGGAGACCAUAUCCCGUACUUCUGGCCUGACAAGGCUGAGGUUCCAUGCAGCGUUCAGCUGAAGUGCUCCCUUUAGCUCAACGAAGUAGCCCUUGCAAAUGGAAAGCGUGUGUAGGCACGCCUAUGCGUGUCUGUGUGUGCACGUGUGUGAGUGCAAUGUGGUGUUUCGGAAAACAGCUUGCAUUUUAUUCUUCCUAAAUUUAAAAGCCAGAUCAAACCUGAUACAACAUUCUUCUCCACGAACCUGAGUCACCUACCAUGGCUGACUGAAAAUCCCAGGGAGAUUUUAGUGUCAUCUGUCCGUGGAAACCUGUGUUUGCUGAUGGCUGCCUUUAAAGUCCAACACACAUGAGGUUAGCACAGAAGAAGGAAAGAAGAACUUGCUAUGAUUUCUCAUUUUGUACCUAUGCAUUACUUGAAUAUAUUGACAGAGACAUGUAUCCAUUUUAUGAACUUAAGAGCAGAGGAAAGCAGUCUGACUUAGGCUCUUUGGCUGAAUGUCAAACAUCAUUUUUGUCCCGUUUACCCAGUGCAAAGCCUGCACAAUGACCUCCAUAUACUGAAAAAUAACACAUCAAAACUCCAAGUGUGGACUCAGAUCUUUUCCACCAGUGUGACUAUUUUUAAACCUGUCUUCAACUUUCCUCUGUAACCUAAUUCUGCUUCUGUUCUUCAUGUGCAAUAAAAUGUCUUUUA